This 328-nucleotide ribosomal RNA is filed under the name uncultured eukaryote. RNAcentral describes it as "partial 18S ribosomal RNA". It matches the Rfam family "Eukaryotic small subunit ribosomal RNA", at positions 1470 to 1796 of the family's 1831-position model. The record is from RNAcentral.
CCCUUAGAUGUCCUGGGCCGCACGCGCGUUACACUGAUGCAUUCAACGAGCUUAUAACCUUGGCCGAGAGGCCUGGGCAAUCUUGUUGACGUGCAUCGUGAUAGGGAUAGAUUAUUGAAAUUAUUAAUCUUGAACGAGGAAUUCCUAGUAAACGCAGAUCAUCAAUCUGCAUUGAUUACGUCCCUGCCCUUUGUACACACCGCCCGUCGCACCUACCGAUUGGAUGGUCCGGUGAAGCCUCGGGAUUGUGGUUCUUGCCGCUUUAUUGUGGCGUGACCGCGAGAACUUGUCUAAACCUUAUCAUCUAGAGGAAGGUGAAGUCGUAACA